CCUGGCCCUAAAUUUUUUAUGUUACUCAGAAGCAGAACAUUAUUGCAAGACUCAGAUUUCAAUGUUUUAUUUCUGUGAAAGCCUUCUGGCAGCUCAUGGCCAGGAAUCUGACAAAGCUGGUACCAUGGUCAGAAUGUGUCCCCCUGCUCCCCUGGAAUUCAUGUGUUGAAAUCCUAAGCCCCAAGGUGAUGGCAUCAGGAGAUGGGGCCUUUGGGAAGCAUAAGUGCCCUCAUCAAAGAAAUCUCAGAGAGCUGAGACUUCUACCACAUGAGGACAUAGGGAGAAGUUGCCAUCUGUGAACCAGGAAGCAGGCCCUAACCAGACACUGAAUCUGCUGGUGCCCUGAUCUUGGACUUCCAGACUCCGGAACUGUGAGAAGUAAAUUUCUGUUGUUUGUAAGCCACCUAGUACAUGAUAUUUUAUUGUAGUGGCCCAAGUGGAAUAAGACAGCUAGGCCUCAGAACAAUGAAGGCAAUUAUAUUGCCAAAGGCCUAGGAGUAGCACGGUUGUUGGUUCAUUCAUGACUCGGCUCUAUUUGCCACUGGUUUCCUCAUCUACCUGCGCCCCUACCGCGUGCUUCGUGCCAUCACAGUUAUCAGCCUGAGUUCAUGCCUCCUCCAUGUUGCUAGGCCAUGAACCCUCCCCUGGCCACUUGUCUCUCUCCUUAUCCUUUAAGUGUGAGGGGCGAUUCACAUAAGGAGGGAAGGAAAGAAUACCUGGGAUAUAACAUCACCCUGCACUUAAACAUCAUCAGUGUGGAAAAUACCCAGCUAGACCACUGCCUUGCUUUACCCGAGAUGAGAGCUGAGCAGACUGUAAACCAAAAAUACAAUUCCAAGGCCUCCUGCAACCAUCUGAAUGGACUGCCUUCCAGCCAGGGCACUCUAACAUUUAACCUGAAAGACUGGUUCAGGCCAUGACAGGAAGUGGGGGUCGAACAUGCUUCAUUAUACCCCUCCAGCAUUAUCAUCAACACAGACCUUGAGUCUGAUAAGACACACGUGCAGUCUAUUCUCUCUAAAGCCUGCUACUUGGCUUUAGGAGGCUUCAUUUGCAUGAUAAAACCUAGGUCUCCACAAUCCCUUAUUAUAACCCAGACCUUCCUUUCUACUAAUGAUAACUCCUUCAACCAACUGUCACUCAGAAUACCUGUGACCUGGAAGGCCCCCACCCUUUCCAGCUGGAACCAAUGUAAACCUUACAUGUAUUGACUAAUGUAUUAUUAUGUCUCCCUAAAAUGUAUAGAAGCAAGCUAUAUCCCAACUACCUUGGGCAUAUGUUGUCAGGACCUCCUGAGGCUGUGUCAUACGCAUGUCCUUAACCUUAGCAAAAUAAACUUUCUAAAUUGAUUGAGACUUGUCUAAGAUGCUCUUGGGUUUACAAGACUAACAACAAACCCUCAACACUCACUUGUCUCAAAGCUUUUCUUUUUCACAAAGGAGAUACCAUCAAGAAUGUGAAAGAAAAGGCUGGGCAUGGUGGCUUGUGCCUGUCAUCCCAGCACCUUGGGAGGCCAAGGCGAGUAGAUCACUUGAGGUCAGGAGUUCAAGACCAGCUGGCCAACAUGGUGAAACCCCAUCUCUACUAAAAAAAAAAAAAAUACAAAAACUAGCCGGGUGUGAUGGCAUGUGCCUGUAAUCCCAGAUACUUGAGGGGCUGAGGCAGGAGAAUGGCUUGAACCUAGGGGAUGGAGGUUGUGGUGAGCCAAGAUCGACCCACUGCACUCGAGCCUGAGUGAUAGAGCAAGACUCAGUCUCAAAAAAAAAGAAAAAAGAGAAAAAAAAGAAUGUGAAAGAAAGGACAAGAAAGAAACAGCAUCUGUGCAUGAAUGUGACUUCCUGACUCUAUGGAAGGAAAAAUUUCAACAACUUGAGUAAAUAUUUUCUUCCUCAUUAUGGGUUUCAACUGUCUGUGAAAAUUAACGUUAGCCCCUGAAGAACGUGUGGAAGGACUUGGUGUAAUGGGUCCCUCUUUAGAUCAACAGGUGUUAACUAAAUUGGAGAGUGCUCUCAGCUUUCAGGUGAGUUCUCAGCAGGAGGUUGGCUGGAGGGCUAGAUGCUUGCCCUGGACAGCCCCUCCUCUCCCAAUCUCUGAUUGUUCAGAAGUGCACGGCGGCAUCAACAGAUGUGGUUGAUGGUCUUACUGAAGCCCCUGAUGAAAGGCCCAGGUAAGGGGACAUGAUCUAAUGGGGGAGGGUAGAUGCAUUCUAGGUAGAGGAUGGAUCCUCCUGGGUGAGAGGCACAAAUUUCCAGAAGGUGGUGGAGGUUUUCCUCCUGAAAACUAGAAGCAAGGGUCUCUUUGAGGGUGAGCUGUGGGUGUGAGGAGAUUGGAGUCAGGUUACAACAGGUUGCUUCUGAGUCCAAGCAGGAACCCUGUUGUGAAGAGUUAACAUCUCCAGUGCUUGUUGUCUUAGGAUUCUGAAGAAAGCCAAAUCUAGCACUUAGCUUAACUUUUCCUUGUUUUCUUUUAAAAUUACCUUGACCCUUCGGUAAGGAAGUUGUCCCAAACAGGCUGGUGUAGGUGGAUUGCGGAAGCUGGAUUGUAGAGUCAAGGUAGCAAAAGGGAAGGUCAGUGAUUGUGUCUGCAGAGAAGCAUCAGUAACUUGUGGGCGUCUCACUUCCUGGGAUUUGAGUUGAGGAGCAGUGGGGCUGUGAGUGGGACUCUUGGAAGACAGAAGAGCACCAUGAGGUCCUGAGACAGAGCUCUUUGUCUGGGGAACUUCUCAAAUCCUCACACUUCUGUCAAAACAUUGUGUGGGGAGAGGGUGGGAGUGCAGAAAGUAGGAUGGGAUAAAUUCAAGGAGAAAGUAUAAUUGAUUGAUAACAAGAUCACUUGAACUUUAAUUUAUGAUUAAAACCUUAAGCCUUAAGACUGUCAUUCUGGUGUCAUUCGGACAUUAGCCAAGACUUUAGGUAAGAAAGGAUGUAUUCAGGAGGGAGGAACUUGAUUGUGCUUCAGGAAUCGUAUCUCCUGGGACAUUAAUCACUUCACCCAUGAGGCAGUCCUUUGAUGGCAAUAGCAGGUUUUACUACCUGAAACCAAGGAAGGCUAAGUGGGUAAUUGGCCUCCAUGGUUAGUAGCAGAAAAACGUGGCUGUAUUUCAUGUAUAAAUCAUGUAUUUCUGCCUGUCCUCCCAAAGGAGUUCCUUUUCCUUAGAGUAAGAAUGCUCCAAAGAGCACGUGAAUACAUUUAACAGAAUGAGAUGCAAUCAGAGGUGAUUAAAAGCAUCAGUGAUGCUGAUUACAAGUCAGGUCAACAAGGAAGUAUAUUUCCUUUAAAUACAUAAGUGUUGCUACUGUGAUAGCCUUGACAUCUAUUUCUACCUGUUAGUGGAUUUGACCCACAGUCACGCACAAUAAAGCCCUAUUUUUAAAACUACAGUCGCUGUAGUCAGUCAUUACAAACACUCCUUUACCUACUGCUUUUGAUUCACAGUAACUGUCUAGCAAAACCCUGGAUAAAUUCAACUCUGCCUGACACCUGUGCAGUUGAUUGUGGCAGUAAUAGCCCAGGCUUUUCAGAAAAGAGAGAUCCACUGGAAAGAAAAAGUCGUUGACACAGCCCACAGAAAGAGGGACACCUUCAGGAUAUGUGAAAAUGUGCUUUAAAGAGGAAAUGAAGACUACAGAUGCCACAUGACCAACGUGGGGUCACCAAUUGGAACAGGGAAGAGAUGUGCACAAUGGCCCUCUCUCCAGCUUGUGUGAGCCGGCUCCAACACACAUCCUGUGGAGCGAGAGUUUGGGUGCGAACUGACCACUCUUAAUUUUAGAGUGGGGCUGGCCGUGCCGGAAAGAUCAACCAUGUGAUUUACGGUGGAGGCCUUGGUCAUCUGGUAUCAGUCCACCUUGAGACUGAGUUCAGCCACAUGGGGAAUCAAUCAAUCAUGCCUACAUAACAAAGACCCAGUAAAAACUCUAGACACUGAGUUUGGAUAUCUUUCCCAGUUGGCAAUACUCCAUGCAUAUUGUCACACAUUGAUGCCAGGAGGGUAAUGUGUCCUGACUCCAUGGUGAGGACAAUGGAAAUUUUGCAUUUGGAACACUCACAGACUCUACCCUGUGUCUGUCUUCCAUUGUCUAAUUUUAAUCUGUAUUCUUUCUGUGUAAUAAACUAUAACUGUGAAUAUAAUAGCUUCCAGUGAGUUCUGUAAAUCACUCUACAGAAUUAUUAAAUCUGAGGGUCAUUUUGCAAACCCCUCAAACUUGCAGUCAGUGUCAGAGGUGAGGGUAGUCUUGGAGACUGUGCCAUUAAACUUUACAGUUUGGUUGACUCCAGGUAAAUACUAUAGAGCAAAAAUAAUGAAAAUGGUACACUGUUGGUGCAAGAGUAAAUAAAUUAAUAGCGUAAUGGAGAAAAUGUAGAAACACUGAACUCUACAUAAAAAAUUAGUAUAUGAUGAAAUAGCAGUUAUUUUAUUUUAAAUUUUUUUUACACAAAUAAGUUCUUUAGCAGUGAUUUCUGAGAUUUUGGAACAACCGUCACCCAAGCAGUGUACACUGCACCCAGUGUGUAGUCUUUUAUCCCUCACCCUCUUUCCCCGCUUUGCCCCAAGUCCCGAAAGUCCACUGUGUCAUUCUUAUGCCUUUGCAUCCUCACAGCUUAGCUCCCACUUAUGAGUGAGAACGUAUGAUGUUUGGUUUUCCAUUCCUGAGUUACUUCACUUAGAAUAAUGGUCUCCAGUUCCAUCCAGGUUGCUGCAAAUGCCAUUAUUUUGUUCCUUUUUAUGGCUGAGUAUAUAAUAUUUUCAGUAUUCCAUGUAUUAUACACCAUAUUUUCUUUAUCUGCUCAUUAAUUGAUGGGCAUUUGGGCUGGUUCCAUAUUUUUGCAAUUGUGACAAAGUAGCAUUUUAAAUCAAUGAGGACAGGAAGGGACUUUCAAUAAAUGAUGCUGUAACAAUUGGCUUAUCAUUUAGAAAAGUUUUCUGCUUUAGAACACACAACUCCACAUGUAUUAAGAAUAUAAAUGUGAACAAUAAAAAUAUAGAAAAGAUAUCUGUGUAAAGAAGUUAUUUCUAUGCUUAAUGGCAAAAUUUUAAAAAAAUUGAGAGAUUUGAUUAUUUAAAAUGAAAACAGUUCUGAUCAGCAGAUAAUCUGCACAAACAAAAUCAAGUCAAAUGAAAAACUGGAAUCAUACAUUUGGAAUACAUAAUACAGAAGAAGGAUUAAUAUGUUCUACAC
This 5180-nucleotide long non-coding RNA is filed under the name Homo sapiens (human). RNAcentral describes it as "HSALNT0126997". The record is from RNAcentral. Lineage: Eukaryota; Metazoa; Chordata; Mammalia; Primates; Hominidae.